This 387-nucleotide ribosomal RNA is filed under the name Chionanthus ayresii. RNAcentral's name for it is "eukaryotic LSU rRNA". The stretch from base 274 to 387 matches the Rfam family "Eukaryotic large subunit ribosomal RNA", at positions 1 to 114 of the family's 3401-position model. The record is from RNAcentral. Lineage: Eukaryota; Viridiplantae; Streptophyta; Magnoliopsida; Lamiales; Oleaceae.
UUUUUGAACGCAAGUUGCGCCCGAAGCCGUCAUGCCGAGGGCACGUCUGCCUGGGCGUCACGCGCAUCGUCGCCCUCCACCCCCGCCCGCGGGGUGGAGGGCCGGACAUUGGCCUCCCGUGCGCAUCCGUGCGCGGCCGGCCCAAACGAGAUUCGGCAUCGGCGCGUGCCACGACGACUGGUGGUUGAAGACCUCAACUCGCGCGUCGUCGUGCGGGGGCGCGCCGUUCGUCCGGAACGCUCCGACCCCCUCGGGUGCUCCGCACCUCCGAAGCGACCCCAGGUCAGGCGGGAUCACCCGCUGAGUUUAAGCAUAUCAAUAAGCGGAGGAAAAGAAACUUACGAGGAUUCCCCUAGUAACGGCGAGCGAACCGGGAAGAGCCCAACU